RNAcentral lists this ribosomal RNA (263 nucleotides) under uncultured bacterium. RNAcentral's name for it is "partial 16S ribosomal RNA". It matches the Rfam family "Bacterial small subunit ribosomal RNA", at positions 15 to 272 of the family's 1533-position model. The record is from RNAcentral.
GAUCCUGGCUCAGGAUGAACGCUAGCGACAGGCUUAACACAUGCAAGUCGAGGGGCAGCGGGGAGUAGCAAUACUUCGCCGGCGACCGGCGCACGGGUGAGUAACACGUGUGCAACCAACCCCCGUACCGGGAGAUAACCCGCGGAAACGUGGACUAACAUCCCAUGAUACUCGAGAGCCGCAUGGCUCUCGAUUUAAAAUUCCGGUGGUACGGGACGGGCACGCGCGACAUUAGGUAGUUGGCGGGGUAACGGCCCACCAAG